Molecule: ribosomal RNA, 497 nt
Filed under: uncultured bacterium
Lineage: Bacteria
Description: partial 16S ribosomal RNA
Rfam family: Bacterial small subunit ribosomal RNA
Source: RNAcentral
GAUGAACGCUGGCGGCGUGCCUAAUACAUGCAAGUCGAGCGAACAGACGAGGAGCUUGCUCCUCUGACGUUAGCGGCGGACGGGUGAGUAACACGUGGAUAACCUACCUAUAAUACUGGGAUAACUUCGGGAAACCGGAGCUAAUACCGGAUAAUAUAUUGAACCGCAUGGUUCAAUAGUGAAAGACGGUUUUGCUGUCACUUAUAGAUGGAUCCGCGCCGCAUUAGCUAGUUGGUAAGGUAACGGCUUACCAAGGCGACGAUGCGUAGCCGACCUGAGAGGGUGAUCGGCCACACUGGAACUGAGACACGGUCCAGACUCCUACGGGAGGCAGCAGUAGGGAAUAUUCCGCAAUGGGCGAAAGCCUGACGGAGCAACGCCGCGUGAGUGAUGAAGGUCUUCGGAUCGUAAAACUCUGUUAUUAGGGAAGAACAAAUGUGUAAGUAACUAUGCACGUCUUGACGGUACCUAAUCAGAAAGCCACGGCUAACUACGUG